AAUAACCAAAAAGUUUAGAAAAAAAAAAGGAGUGGAAAAAUGCAGAUGCACUCUUAAGGCUUCGUUUGGAAUUGCGGGAAGAUUGCAUUACGUGCGGUGAGAAAGUACGUUGGAAAAAUACUCUGUUUGUUUUCGUACGUAAUAUUGUGUUCCGCAUAUCGCGAAUUACAAUAUAUUUUCUGCGAUUCCACCGAAAAACGCAGAAGCAUAUUCCUAUAUGCUUUUUCCACAAUCCAUUUUAUCUAAUAGCGUUAGAUAAGACUCAAUACCAAACUAAGCCUAAUUGUAGGGUAAGUAACAUAAGACAGUUUAUAUAACUACUCCACAAAUCAGGUUUUCAUCUAGAAAUGCUCAUUUAAUAUAAUUACAGCCAAACACUAGAUUGUGUCAUCAUCACUCAUUCAUCCUUAUAUAAUUGCCCACAUUAUUAAUCACCACUAUAAAAUCCUGAAUCACUAGUUCCUGAUGUGGGAUGGAUGAGACUUUUCUUAUCUAAAUCAUAUUUCAUAAAACUUUUAUACUAAAAUAUCUCCCCACUCCAUUAGGUCAAAAGAGGGGAACAAAGGAAAAAAAAAAAAAAAGAAGAAAAGAACAACAUUAGCCUAAGGUCUAAAGGGAAUAGAAUAUGUGUCACAUGUGCCACAAAGCAUCUUAUCUUUUUAGGAGAGAUGCAUAGUGUUUACGUUGCUUUUUGUUACAUUAAAAAAAAACCCUCAAUGAAAGUAUGUUCCAUUAAAGCUACUGGGAGUGAAGAAUAGUACAUGUACAGCAAGCUGGAUGGGAAUCUAAGAGGACAUGCUCCAGGUGGAAUAUUUUGGUGCUAAGUCACAAAUUAAAUUAAAUUUAGUGUCCUAAACCAUCAUGAUCAAAUCUCUGUAGGCUAGGAAAGAUCUGUUUGUGUACACCAUUGUCUAGCGCAGUUAUCCUCGCGCGGCAAACAUGUAUGAACAAACAAGGGAGGAUUUAGACCGCCGACUUUUUGGAGAAGUAAAUAUGUGAUCAGUCUGGAAGGAUUCUUCAGUUGGGGUAGAUAGGCUUGCUUAAAAAUAAUAAAAGAAAUAUAUUAUGAGAGCGUUGUUUGCCUACAAUCCCAUGCACAUGAAUUUUUUAUUUUUUGCACACAAGGUUUUUUUUUUUUGCUGCUUUUUGGCAGUGGAAUUGUUCCCGUGUGCAUACAUUUUCCGAGCAUCGGGUCAUAGGAUAGUAAAAACUCUAAUUAAGACUAAUACAAUAGUUUCGCACUGAUAUGAUAUUUUUUUUUCAAAAAAAAAUCUAUUCUUCUACUUUUGUGCGGUGUGUGUAUAUAUAUAUAUAUAUAUAUAUAUAUAUAUAUAUAUAUAUAUAUAUAGGCCAUGGUUACUAUACUAUUAUGAGUAUUGGAGCCCUCGUACUCAUAAGUUGUUUUCAAUGAUGGAGCUUCCGAAUCGACGAUCCACUCCGUUAAAUAUGAUCUAGAGUAUUUGAACAUUCUAGAAAAUAAAUUUCGUAAAUUUUUNUCAUAGGAACAACCCAAUUUUCAUCCAAACGCAAAAUUGGUCUAGUUUCUGCUUAUACCUGAACUUGUACCUAUCCCUAGAACUAGCAGUUCUUACUUAUACCUGAACCAAGCGCAGCCUAAGAGGACAUGCUCCAGGUGGAAUAUUUUGGUGCUAAGUCACAAAUUAAAUUUAAUUUAGUGUCCUAAACCAUCUUGAUCAAAUCUCUGUAGGCUAGCAAAGAUCUGUUUUUGUACAGCAUUGUCUAGCGCAGUUAUCCUCCGCAAACAUGUAUAAACAAGGGAGGAUUUAGACCGCCGACUUUUUGGAGAAGCAAAUAUGUGAUCAGUCUAGAAGGAUUCUUCAGUUGGGGUAGAUAGGCUUACUUAAAAAUAAUAAAAGAAAUAUAUUAUGAGAGCGUUGUUUGCCUACACUCCCAUGCACAUGAAUUUUUUAUUUUUUGCACACAAGGUUUUUUUUUGCUGCUUUUUGGCAGUGGAAUUGUUCCCUUGUGCAUACAUUUUCCGAGCAUCGGAUCAUAGGAUAGUAAAAACUCUAAUUAAGACUAAUACAAUAGUUUCGCACUGAUAUGAUAUGUUUUUUCAAAAAAAAAUCUAUUCUUCUACUUUUGUGCAGUGUGUGUAUAUAUAUAUAUAAUUCAGUUUAGGAUACUAUUUACUUUUUCAUACUUGGGUCAUUACGAUUGCAUUGACCACCUACUCAAUUAUAGGAGAGUGGCGCUACUAUACUAUCUAUAAUAUUGAACGCUUGAUGCUAUUGAAUUUUUUGCUAUUCGAUGUACCCGUUUGAUCAUUUUCAUCCUUUAAAUUAUAUUAUUUAAUCAACCAUAUACUCAACUUUAAGAUUAUCCUAACCGCACAUCACUUCAUCAAAAGGCUGAAAUCUGAUAGUACCAAAUGCUCGGUACUAUUAAUAGUAUAAUAACUUAAUUAUAUAUAUAUAGGCUAGGGCUACUAUACUUUUAUGAGUAUAGCCCCCUUUGUACUCAUAAGUUUUUAACCAUUGGAUGAAUAGAUGUGCGGUUAGGAUGAUAGUGGUCUCCGAUUAGGUUAAUAAUGGUCCUCUAGGAUUGAGUGGGUGGUUGGUUGAAUAGUAUGACCUAACGGAUAGAAAUGAUCAAAGAAGUAGAUCUAACGGCCAAAAAUUUAUGAGUACAAAAGGGACUAUACUCCAUAAAAGCUUAUAGUAGGUCGGACUAUAUAUACUAUAUAUAUAUAUAUAUAUAUAUAUAUAUAUUAUAUAUAUAUUAUAUAUAUAUAUCUACUAUAUAUAAAAGCAAACUUUAUAUUCAAAUUUGGGUCUCGUCGACAACCCAUUUUUCGGCGAAAAAAUUAGCGCCCACCUUUUCUCUUUCCGUACCGAAAAAUUUUAAUUAAGAAUAAAAAUAAAAAUAGAACAACAAUGAAUACGUAAGUAUCUAAAUAGAUACUCUAAUGUGGAAAAUCCAUAAAAUAUAAAUUUUUCUAUUUAAUUUCAAAAAGUAAGUUUCUAUAAAAAUUACGGGCUGUGAAAAUCCUAUAAAAGAUUAUUUUCAUUUUUUUAAAAUAUCUUUCUUAGAUAUUAUCAUAUUAAUUUUAAAAUAAUUUUUUUUAGAUAACGGAUUUUAUUUUUCUAUUUAUAUCAAAAAUUUAUUUCCUAACAUAUUUAUUUUUCUAUUUAAUUUCAAAAGUAUUUUGCAUUUAGAGAUUAUGCUUAAUUAUUUACUCAUUUAAAGAUAAUUCUUCUUUAAUUAGCGUGAUUUAAUUAUUAAAUUUUUGAUAACAUAUUUGGCAAUCAUAUAAAAUGGCCUAAAUUAAAAAUAAUUUAACAAAAUUAUAACUUUUUCUAAUAAUUAUUUAUGUGCAUCUUGGCACGUACAUUUUACUAGUUAUAAUAUAUAUAUAAUAUAAUAUAAUAUAUAUAUAUUAUAUAUAUAAAUAUUAUAUAUAUAAUUAGUAGUAAUACUAUCACAUAAGUACCAAGCAUUUGUGCCUAUUGAUUUUUAGCCUUAGAUUGAGAAAUGACCGUUAGGAUGAUGUGGCCCCCUAGUUGAGUGAAGUGAUCUGUAAUAGUAUAAUUUCAACGCGUAAACUAAUUAAAAGGAUUAAAUUUAAUUGCUGUGAAAAACUAUUAGCGCCAAAUCGUCCUGGCGUAUCGUUGUAUCCAGCCGACUCUCUCUCUCAUAUAUAUAUAUAUAUAUAUAUAUAUAUAUAUAUAUAUAUAUAUAUAUAUACAUAUAACAAAAAAUUAAGAUUGCAAAGAAAAGUUUCUCCAAGGCUGGGGGAGCCGUGGCGCUCUUUGCGAAAUCCGAGGUGGAGGAAUUUUUGUUCGUCCGUUGCUGCAAGGGAAGGCCAAGCUUGGUACAACGAAAGUACUACAAGUGAGCAAAUUCAUAAUUUGUACCCUCUACUUGGGAAUAGGAGAUUCUAGUUCGAAUCUUAAUUCGUGCGGAAAUAAAUGUUUGUAUUAGGGCCUGCAGGUAUCUGAGAUCUCGUUUUCGUGCAGGAAUAAAUGUUCGUAUUAGGCCCUAUCGACAUCUUUACUAGAGGAACAAAACGAGAAGAGAACAAAAAAAUAAAAAAUGCAUAAGCUUUAGAAAGAAAGAAAAAAAAAAAUGUUAAAUGACAAAACUCAAUGGAGUGCAAUGUGCGAACUACGACCUCGUGCCUACACUAUACUGUCAUGUAUGUACAUAUUAAUGCUUACACAAAUUUAUCUCAGUCGAAUAUGUUUGAAAAGAUAAGAUAUUUAAAAAGCUAAGUCCAGUAGUUUGAUUAAUCAAUGAGAAUCCCCUACCGUAGGUUAGGUAGUCAUUCCUAGGAAUGUAAAUGGAUACGGGUACCCGAAUUUUAUCUGAAUCCAAAUCCGAACGGAGCGAAUUUUAUCCGAUAUAAAUGGAUAUGGAUUCGAGUAUAGAUAUAUAUAACAAAAUCUGACAGAUUCGGAUUCGGGUAUGGAUAUUUUAAAAAAAUCCGAACCCAAACCCAAACCCGAACUCAAAUAAUCCAAUCCGAACCCGAACAAAUUUAAUAUAAUAUAAUAUAUAAAAAAAAUUCAAACCAUUAGAUCUGAAUCUAAAGGUCAAAAAAAAUUUUAUACUUUUAUAACAUAAACCAAAAUACAUAUAUUUUUAUAACUCAAACCCUAAUAUUCAAACUUCAAAGCCUUCCCAUUUCCAAAGCCGUCUCCAAAUCCCAAGAGUUAAAAUUUCAAAAGAGAACUAAAGAAGUGAUUGCAGAUUUGUGUAAUCUCUUAUUAAUUCUUCUCCAAGAGGCCAAGAAGGUAUUUUGGUUUGUUGCUUUGUCCAAGAAUCACAACCUUAGACUUAAGAGGAAAAAAGGUAAGGAUUGUUUUAAAAAAAAUUGAGAAUUAAAGUUCCUUCUUUGAUGUGGGUUUUUUGAUUCUUCAUAUAUGUCUUCUUUUUCUUAUUUUUUAAGUUUAAUUUUUUAGUUCGUGUGGGUUGUUAGGCAAUGAAAUUAUCUUUUUUUAAAAAAAAUUUUAAAAAAAAUUUGUUUUAUUUUUCUCUUAAUUAGCAUUUUUAACUUUAGUCUUUUAGUCUUAUGGAUUUUUAAGCAAUGAAACUAUAUUUUCGUUUUUAAUUUUUUAAAAUUUUUUAUUUUGUUUUUCUAUUAAUUAAUAAUCUUUUAGUUUUUUUGGGUUGUUGGGCUAAGAAUGUAGUGUUUCUGAGCUUUGGAUAGGAUUGGCUUCACUGUUAGUGACUGGUCGACACAGCUGGAGAGUGUUGGACUGAGUCGGAGUCGUUUCUGCGCGAAAUGGAUGCAGAAAGGGACUCGGCGUACUCAAAUAAGCAAAACUGGAGUUUUGCCAGAUUCGGACGCCCAGAAUAGGGUUUGGGUCGCCCAGAAAUUGAGUGCAGAAUUGAACUGAACUGGAAGUCAAUUCGGGUCCAUAUUUCGGGCGCCUGGAUGUGGGUCCGGAAAUCUACUUUGGAAGUAUCGUUUGCGCUGACACGUGGCUGGUGGUAGGUGAAGUCCGCCGGAGCCGGAUACGGGCGCAACACACCACGAGAGAUGGAACCAAAGGGGAGCAAAUGUACAGACUGGAGGUUUCGGACGUCUAGAAAUGGGUUUUGGGCGUCCAAAAGUGGCCAUUUCUGCAGGUGUAACAGAAUUGCAGCCUUUAUUCCUGAGGUUCAUCUGACCCUAUCUUCACCCUAUAAAUAGCUGAGGAGAGUCCCUGGUGAGCUUUUUUCCUCUCUUCUUCACAGUGAUCCUCUACUUUGCAUUCUAACCCCUCCAAAUCACUCAAAUUACAUCAAAGGUCCACAAAUUCAGCUUGAGGAGUGCUAACUCUGUAGUUUUCCAGCGACGACCUUCGGUGCUUUGGCUCGUGUGUGACAUAGGAAGGUCGGAUUGCCGUGAAACUUGGUUUGCUGGAUUCUAGACUUCCAGAGGAAUCCACGAAGCCUAGAAUUGCAGAUUUUGAUUGAGGUUAGCUUAGUCGAACUCAAGUUCUUCUCUGUUGCUAUUGUUUUGGACAGAUUUUUAGGUUUGUGAGUUUUCUUUGAUGCUAUAUUUGGAGGCAGGAGGAUUUGGGACCUGAGUUUGAUACUCCAUCAUUAUUCACUGGAUUUGGAACUUGCCUCACCUAAAUUGGAGAUUAUUAGGUAAGUUUUGACAUUGGAGUUGAGACAAAUUACGCUUAAGUGCUAAAAUUUGGUGAAUUGAUGGAUUUCGAUGAAUUUUUGGGUAUAGAUCCUUCGAGUAGCUUUGUUGCUGGGUGUGGGUGAUCUCGGCUGAGGCUUCCAGCAAUUUGUGACCUUCUUGCUUCCAGGGAAUCGCUCUAGAGGUGGGUGUUUCAUCGGUUUUGCUCCUAAGUGCUUGUAGUCGACAUGUAUGAUUUCGGUUCUCGUAUAUCAUGUUGUAGCUCAAAUUCAUUAAUUGUAGCAUGUAUAAAAUCUAAAUUGGGAGCAUGAUUAUUAAUUAGAUGAAUAUACAUGUUGGACUUGGAACUUGACUUAGGAGAAAACCAGCGAUUCGACCUGUCAUAUGAUUCUACUACCUGAUUUAGCUCUAGGAGCCGUGUUUUGAUUGCAUCACCGCUGUUUCAGCGCGGUGGAUAUCCGGGAUAGUUUAGAAUGCAUUUACACUCGUGCUGGAAAGCCGAGCUUAUUUUUACAGUAGAGUCUAGGCUGUUUCGGGUUGUCGGGUGCCGUCGGGAUGGACGGUGGACCCAGAUUCCUGUUUUUGAUCUCAGAUUGUGCCGAGGGCACGUGGGUUUGGUUUCUAGACCUCUUUUGACCCUAGCUACUUGACUUUGACUUGUUAGAGCCUGAUUGAGCUCGAGAGAGAUACGCUGCAUACUCGGUUGGGUAGCUCCCACGAGUGCCACUCCGGAGACGGGCGCUAUACUUUCGCGUUGGUGUCGUUCGUGCAUGUUGGACUUGCUCUCCACGGACUGGUUAGUGUGGAGGUAGCAGUAUAGUCGCGACCGGGCGGAACGAGUGUGUUCACAGUCCCAGGGACGGGUAUGAUUACAGUCCUCAUUUAAGAUUGGGUCUGAGUUGAUACUGUUCUACAGAUGAUUAGAUUUAGAGCAUGAUAGUAGUGUGGCAUAUAGCUGUAGAUUUGUUCCAGCUUUCUUUACUAUUCCUGCUUAUCCCUGUAGACUUAGUGGGUGGACCGAUGAGUUUGAGGGCGGUACCCACUAAGGACUAUUUGUUUUUACAGUAGUUCUCAUGCCUUGUUGUUAUCACUGUUUUUGCAGAGCCGUCGCCUUCGGAUGCUGCUGUUGCUGAUCUUGAUCGUGGCAAGGGCGUCGCGAGUUAGAGCCCUUCCAGUCGAGUCGCAGAGCUAGAUGAGCACCAGCUACAGGUAGUUAUAGUUUUUGGGUCUUUACAUACAGUUAUUAUAUCUCGCCAGAGCGAGUGUUUGUAUACCUGGAUGACAUGUAUGUAUUGAACCACAGUUUAUAUAUUUGGUUUAUUUUCCUAGCUGCUGUAUACUACUGUUUGUAGUAUUGUAUGAUUAUAGGUACUUCUACUUUUUCGCUUCGAAUACAGAGAAAAUACCUAUGUAUAUAGUGGGUCUGUUAGCGAGCCCGGAGAAACGAGUAAUCCGGGGCGUGACAAAGAAACUAUCUUUUCUUUUUUUAACUUUUUAAAAAAGUUUUGUUGUAUUUUUUUUUAAUUAGUAUUUUUAAUUUUAGUCUUUUAGUUUUUAUGGAUUGAUUCUUUAGAUCUACAUGCCUUUUUUAACUUUUAUUUUUUUCUUAUGGGUUGUUCGGUAAUGGAGCUCAUAUUUCUUACAAUUUUUUUUUGUAUAAUAUGUUUCAAAAUUUGUUAAAUAUUAUUUUCGGCUUCGGAUUUUUAGGUUAAAAAUUGGGUUUCGGGUUUUUGGUCAGAUUUGGGUUUGUUCCGGAUUCGAGUUCGGGUUUUCCUGUUCGGGUUCGGAUUUUGGGUUUCUGGUUGGAUUCGGGUUUGGAUAUGGAUUUUUAAAAUCCGUCGGGUUCGGGUUCGAGUUCGAAUUUCGAAUUUGGUAGUCGGGUUCGGGUUCGGGUUCAGAUUUUUGAAAACCCGCCCCGAAUCCGACCCCUUGACAUCCCUAGUCAUUCCUAAUGUUUCCUCAAGGCAUAUAGAGAGUAAAAAAUUUUUUUGAAGAAAAUUUUUUUUUUGAGAGAUAGGUAGCAUGCUACCCGUUUCGUUUAUUUCAUUUAGAAAAAAAACUUAACUGAAAUAUAUAAAAAAAGGUCUUUUCAUAAAAAAUUUAUUGGGAUAAUUUCAUACAACUCCUUAUAAACAUAUCGAAUAGCAAAUAUAUCACUACAAAAUUCAAGUUUUCAGAUUUAUCUCUUCAAAAGUCUGAUGAUAUUCAUAUUUGUCCCUCUGAUUUGUUUCCAUUAACUCAUUGUUUAUUUUUUAAUAGAAGAUAGGUAAAAUGUGUCAUCACAAAUAUGUUCUUCCAAAAGCCCUAACUAUUAGAAUUGUGCAAAAAUGAUGUCCUCCCAAAGCUUCCCACUGGUCAUCAUCUUUCUAUAUAAAAAUUAACCCAAUCCACUAUUAUGCAAUCUCUUCUGUACCUCUUCUCUCACAACUUUUUUCCUUUACCUAUCUACUGCUGAUUCCCCGACGCUUGACAUGGGCAAAGUAACAUGCGUCAUUGAUGGAUGGGAAUGAAGAAACCCUAGUUACUGGUUCGAAACUAGCAUGAAGAAGAGAGAGGAAGAGGAAUAGGAAGAGGAAAAAGAGUUCUCAUUGCUAGGGUUUUGAUAGAACUAGAAUUUUCAUAUGAAAGAAGAAGGUAUAAUAUCAGAGGAGUAAGAAGGAUAAUUUACCUCACUCACUAAUCAAGGUUAAGUAUUUUACUUAUAAUUAAUUAUAUUUUUUUUAACGAACACUAAUAAUAGCGGUAUAUUUGAAACCAUUAGGAUUUUUUGCUGCUAUACGAUAUGUUAAUAGGGAACUAUAUGAAAUUAUCCCAAAUUUAUUAGUCUUGGGUUUUUGCAGAAUAGGCCGCAUUUUUUUAUUUUGUACAUUCAAAUCAAAUUUUUAAGAAACUGACCAAAUGUUAGAAAAUUGAGUGCGAUAAAUACAGCGGAAAAAGAAAAUCAAACUUAUUUGAUUUUAAAAACUCGAGAUCCGAUCUCAAAAUACCACGCAAACAUGAUCCUUCAUAUUGUUUAAGAUUAAAGGAGAAAAAGGAAGAUAUAAUCUUCACCUUUGCUCGGAUAGAUUUUCACCGCAAUCUGAUGAUCAUGGAAUUGGUUCUCUUGAAGCCGCACAAGCGUUCAGCCUCUAUAGGUAUCUAACGAGAUCGUCGAUGUGAUCGAUGUCCUCACCGGGAUGUUAGUUCCCUUGCAGAGGACGUCUUUGCUAGAAGAUCGAAGAGAAGAAGAGAGAGAUGAUGGCUAGGGUUUUCUAAAAUCUUCCGUAUCUUAUAAAGAGGGAUAUAAUCCCUUUUAUAAUAAUAUAAUUAACAUUAAGCAUAAGAAUAAAUCUAGGUUUAUUUUCAUCAUUUUCUUAAUUGGUUCAAUCGAUUAAAUCUUAAUUUAAAUCGACUUGAACUCAAUCCUAAUUUGAUCAAAUCAAAUUAAUAAUACAAUAUUUGCACAUAAGUCCUCUCACAACUUACUAACUAUUAGUAAGUCCUCUCUUGCAAUAUUUGCACUUUAAUACCACUAAUUUGUAAUAAUUACAGAUUAGUCCAAUUAUUAACAUAUUGACAAUUAGAUCCUCCGGUGAUUCAAAAAUCGCGAUUUAGUUAUUUGAUCGGUCACAACCUCUUAUGUGUGUAACCCCAUAGAUUCUAUUCUAUCUGAUAGUGAGAUAUAUUCUUAUCAAUAUCAACAAUAUCACUGAAACUCCUUUCGGUGGGUUGAAAUAAUUCCAACUCUGGCAAAUGAGAAUUAUUGAUCAUCUAGAUAAUUCUGAUGAGUCUCACAAUCCACAAUGAUGCCGGCAGCAUGUAGUGGCAUUCCAGUAGAAUGGAAUAUUGAACUUCUUGGUGCAGUUAUCGUGUGAUACAGUCCUUCUAUCAUGAGUCCCGACUAGACAGAGGUCAUAGAAUAGCUCGUCAAACCCCAUCGUCUGUCAUAUGUUAAAUUUAUUCGACUCGAGUUUCUAAUAUCGGAAACCUUUUUUCGCUAUUAACUCCGCCCUAACCAAGAUCUUUUAAACUCGGUCUCAUAAAUCAUAGAACUAACGCCUAUAUUUAUAAAGAGAAAUUGAUUCCAUAUACGUGCACACCAUAUUCCUAUAAUGAACCUAAUACAGCCAACAUAUACUACAAGGACCCGAAUGGCUAGGGAUAUGACCAACUGUAUGUAUAGUCAAACUACAGUAACCUCAUUGUGAAUAGCUGAGGCACCGCAGGUCAAAGGACUAAUCACACUAUUGCAACAUUGAGCAAGUCACUGACGAGUGAGUAGACAUCCAAGUGACUUCCCGCGUUGGUCAUGCUCGGUACCCUUGUUCUCUGACAACCACCUGCACAUUCGCUCUAGUGUUCCCACACUGUUGACUCGAGACUCGUCUAUCCAAAACGGGAAGUGAUCUAUGUACUAAUCUCACAGGAUCAAUCACUGUCUCCGUAAUGAUUCAACGAUCGGGAGCAUUUAGGAAUUAAUCACCAAUGACACAUGUCUCAAAUUCUCAACUCUUGAGAAUAUAUGUCAUCAUCUUAUUAAUUUCUUAGAUGAUUCAUAGACACAUACACAACAUGAAUAAAAAUAAUAACCCAAAUUCAUUCAUAAUAAUUUUAAAUCAAAUAUAAAUUUAUGUUCUAAAAAGAAUACAUGUGUCGGCUUGGUUGGCUUCUAGGGCAUACAUCUAAUACUAAAUACUCUUAUUCUCUCACUCCUAUUCUCUCUUUUCUUCUUUUCUUUCUUUUCCCGCUUCCCCCUUCUCCUCCUCCGUCGCCCGCAAGUCGCUAUCACAUUCUUCAUCCUACCUCACACACAUCUCCAUUAUGGCGGCAGCGUGAGCUCGAACGGGGCACGAAUCACGGUGAUAAGGGCAUGGCUAGCGACACAAUUCGAGCCAACAGGCACAGUUUGAUUAAUGUUAUACUAGUUUAUUAGUGCAAUAGAAUAUAAAAAUAGUGCAGCAUAUAGUCAAAUAAUUUUUUUGCACUAUUUGACUAUAUGUUUCACUAUUUAAUAGUAUAUUAUACUAUUUUAUAGUUUUUUAUAUUUAUCAAAUACUAUAAUAUAUAGCCAAAUAGUGCAGCAUUUUUAUUUCCCUUAAUAAAAAAGGGAUAAAGAACGAAGAAGAAAGAGAAGAAGGACAUCAAUAUCCCUUUCAUCUCCUUCCUUCUCCUCUAUCCCCGCAUGUCAUUGUUGUCGCAAUCUCGUCCUCCUCGACCUCCACCUCGCCAUUCGUGAGAGGGAACCCCCUCUAAGAUCAUUACCCUUGCGUCAACAACCUAGAUCCGCGAUGACAAUGGUGUUAGAAGAUAAAAAGGGAGAAGAAGGGGGAGAAAGGCGGUGAAGGAGGAGAAGAGAGAGGAAGGGGGCGACGACGACGAUAACGACAUCAAAAGAGAUGAAAGGGAUGAGAGAACGAAAGGAAAGAGGAAUGAAUAAAGGCCUUUUAAUCACAUUUCUAAAAUUAGGAUCGAAUAUACAAAAUUUAAAAAAUUGGCCUGAUUUUGCAAAAACGCAAAACAAAAAUUUUUUAUGCAAAUUGGAAAAAAGAGAGAGAGGGAGAGAAAAAUAAUCAAUGAGAAACAUAGAGAAAAAUUAAUUAGAAUUUUUGGGCUAAACUAUUAUGAAUUUGAUUCAGAUGGUCUUAUCUGAUUCACACCGGGUUUUGUUGCAUCUAAUUGUUACUGAAAGAUCAAUCUACUAAAAAAAUAGGCCCAAAUAUAUAUCUAUACUAUAUAUAAAAUCACGUAUUUCAAAUUUCGGUCUAUCGACAAACCCAUUUCAAAAUUCCUAUUUUUUCAUAUGUAAAGUAAAUAAUGUAACGAAACAAAAUUUUAGUUCCUCUCUUUUCUCCAACUAUUAAUAUUUUAUUUUUUAUUAAAUAUUUUUGUUAUUCAAUAUGUUUUUGUAAGAUAAAUAUUUAUAUAUUAUCUCUAUUCUAUUUACUAAUAUUUUAUUAUUAUAUUAACUUUUAAAUUUUGAUUCAUUUGGUUUAAAAUAUUUAUUUAAAUUUGGAUUUUUUUGAAUUAAAAAAUAUAAAAAAUAUAUUCAAUGUAAUACUGCAUGACACCGAUUGUCAAUAUUCAAUAUUCAAUGUAUUACCAAUUGAAGAUCGGUCGAGAUGGAGUCGAAGCGAGGAUUGGAAUAAAGGGAAAAGAGAAAAAUAUCUUUUUUGUUGAGGAAUCUUCGACUCAAGAUGAGCCAAACACUUCUAGUGGUAUAGAAGAUUCGGCUGAUAAGGCCAAAAUAUAUGCUGCAAAAAUGAUUAAAAAUCGACAACCCUAUAAAUGUGCGUUCCUUAAGCUAGCAUGAAAAGUGCGCGUCUCUGUAUGUACUUAUUCUUUUGACGUCGCAAAGACCGAUUUAAUUUUUGAUCGGUUGUUAAAAGGCGACAGAAUUAAGCUCCAGGAGAGUCAAACAUUACCUUCUGAAGAGAAAUUAAAUAGGAGAAAGUAUUAUAAGUUGCACCAUUCGUGGAGCCACAAGACAAACGAAUAUACAACCUUUAAAAAGCAAAUUCAAAAAGAGAUGAACGAGGGUCGGCUUAUUUUUGCUUAUCAAGAAAACGAAAAUAGUAUGAAAAUUGACCAAAAUCUAUUUUCUUCUCAUGUCAACAUGGUGGAUGUUAAAGGGAAGACAUCUGCGGAAGAAAAGUUUGAGCAGGACAUAGUUUACACCAAAAUGGCUCUUCGACUGUGCAUACGAUACAAAGCCGAAAUGACAUGCUGUGACUCGGAGGCGAUAAUUCAAGAGAAGAAACUGUAUAGGGAAUGGAAGGAGUUCAUGGCAUUCUUCGAAGAAUGGGAAGAUCUAUCCGAGGCAGAAAGUGAUCUGGACAAUUAUUCGAGAGAAGAUUCAAACAACUCCGAAGAAGAAGUGGAGUCUAAGAAAGAUCAGAAAGACCUCGUGAUACAAAAGGUCCUGGACGAUUAUUAUCAUCGUCAAACUGAAAGGAAUGAGCCGAAGAAGUUACCCUGAGAUGUCCUUCGGCAUACAACAGAGAUAUCUGGGAUAUCGGCCUAACUAGCAUUAUCAGGCCAAGCUGAGACCCGAGCUCGAAGGGAUGACUGAGGGUGAUAUUGAAUUCCUCGGUCGAAAACUAGUUUACGAACUCGACAUCCAACCCUGGCUGAGACCAUGGGAGGGAAAAGAAAUCUUGAGAGAGUACCUCAGGAUUGUCAAAGUGCCAGCUAAUGUGUCAGUGGAUCAAUGGCACACGGCAAAAGCACCGGCUAGAUAGUAUGGGCCAAUGUUGACAAAAACUCAAAAUGGUCGACAACAAAGGUUACAAGCUGAGGCCCGACAUCACUGGGAGGAAGCUAAAGGAAUGAGGCUGAAUGUUUAAAGAUGGCCCAAGGUACAGCUAUCCUUUCGACUUAUGAAGAACGAUCACGAAAUGGGUGGUUCAACACCUGUACCUUGGUUGAAGCCCAAGAUCGAGCAGUUGGCUCUCGCUGAGCCGACAAAGAAGGUGACGCGAAAAGCAUAGGAAGAAAAGAUCGCCUCUUUGGAUACGAUCAUCAAGCGAGACAGAUGGCCUCCCAAGGAGAGGGAGGUUCAGCCAGAAAGUGACUCUUCAGUCGAAGUAGCCAAAGAAUUAGAGGAGAAGAAACAAAAAGUUCAGGAAAGAUCGGCUGAAGAAAGCUUGGGUGAUGUGAGUAUGGUGUAUGCUCUACUAUUCUCAUUCAGAGCAAAAUAUAUAGAGUUUGAGCAGCAGAUCUAUACAAGAGAGGAGCUAUCAGCAGCUCAACUCCAGCUUGAAUAUGCGAAAGCGGCUGAUGCAGCAAUUUUCGAGAAGCCAUCAGCCCUACAGACAAGGUUUGUUAGGCCUUUAUUUAUAAAGGUUUUAAUAGAUGGACAGCCUGUGGGACAAGUUUAGAUUGAUAGUGGGGCAAUGGUCAACGUCAUGCCUACAUCAUUUUUCAAGAAACUAGGCAAAGCGAAGAUAAACUCAAGCCCACCGAUACGACCAUGAUUGAUUUCACUGGGAACGGUCAACAAGCAGCGUACUCAAGACUGAGCUCACGGUCGGAUCUAAAACCCUUCAGACAGCUUUCUUUGCGGUGGAUGUAGAUAGCCACUACAAUUUACUACUCGGGCAUGAUUGGAUUCACGCAAACGAGUGCGUACCAUCCACCCUGCAUGGAAAGCUUUUCCAGUGGACAGGAGAUCGCGUGGAAAAAAUUAGGGCCGAGGGACGGUCGCAAAUAGUGGACAUUAACGUGGAAGACGUCGGUCAUAUCAACUGGGUCGACACCGACCCGGAUCAAAUCUCGUUUGUGCGGGUCACUAAAGAGGAGGUACAGCUAGUGCUUCUAAAGGAUACAGAGGCAUUGGUGGCCCUGGAAGAGCCACCAGACUGGUUAAAAUGAAACAUCAAAAGCUGGGAACAGAGGCUCUAGACGAGCUUCGGCAAGACAAGCGGACCAAAGAAGUCGGUUGCUUCAUCGAAUCGACCGAGUUGGCCGAUAAAAAAUCAUGUAUUAGAUCAGCCAAACUAGUUGAUGAAGAUUUGUGUGUGAAAUUAGCCGAGUCGACAGAUAAAAAAUUAUGUGAUGAAAUUCUGAGUUCAGGAGCUGAUCUGAAUGAAAACGAAACGACUCAAGAGGUAGAAGAUGUGAAAAAGCCUGGUCAAACUUGCGCUCAAACUACAAGAGGAUCAAGACGGAGUCUAUUGAAGAAUCACCAAUCGAGGUUGGCGAGAAAAAGCUGGAGACUCAAGAUCAGUUAAAAGAAGUGAACUUAGGGUUGGACGAGAACAAAAAGACGACGUAUAUUAGCACAAAACUUUCGGCUCAACAACAGGAGGAGCUGGCGAGGUUGCUAGUAAAAUACAAGGAUUGCUUCGGCUGGAGUUAUGAGCAAAUGUCUUAGCUGAGUCGAGAAAUUGUAGAAUAUAGACUUCCUAUUAAAAAGAGGUACAAGCCUUACAAAAAACUGGCUCGUAGGUUUGAGCCGAGUGUUGUACUUUAAAUUAAGAAUGAAAUUGAAAAUCUUUUAAUGACCGAAUUUAUUAGACCGGCCUGUUAUAUUGAUUGAGUAUCUAAUAAUACCAGUACGAAAAAAUGGCAAACUUAGAUUUUGUAUCGAUUUUAGAAAUUUGAAUUUGGUUACACCUAAAGAUAAAUACCGGAUGCCCAUAGCGGACAUGCUAGUGGAUUCGGCAGUCGGACAUAAAAUUUUAUCAUUUAUGGACGGUCAUGCGGGCUAUAAUCAAAUUUUUAUUGCCAUAGAAGAUGUAGCUAAAAUGACUUUUAGAUACUCGUGGUCUAUUUAGACCUUUGAAUGGAUGGUGAUACCUUUCGGCUUAAAGAAUGCUAGAGUCACUUAUCAAAGGGCGAUGAAUUUUAUUUUUUAGGAUUUGAUCGGUAAAAUAUUAAAAGUUUACAUCGAUGAUAUUGUUGUAAAAUCUAAAUCACAGACCGAUCAUUGGGCUGAUUUAUAACUUGCUUUUGGGCGCAUGAAGAAAUAUAAUUUCAAAAUGAAUACUUUGAAAUACGCUUUUGGGGUUUUAGCAGAAAACUUUCUUGGAUUCCUGAUACACCAAAAAGGAAUCGAAAUAGGUAAAAAUAAGGAAAAGACGAUUAUAGAGUUACCACCGCCUAAAAAUAAGGAGUUGCAGAGCUUAUUAGGUAAAAUAAA
RNAcentral lists this long non-coding RNA (15719 nucleotides) under Ananas comosus (pineapple). RNAcentral describes it as "long non-coding RNA (ACOM_LNC028364)". Lineage: Eukaryota; Viridiplantae; Streptophyta; Magnoliopsida; Poales; Bromeliaceae. The record is from RNAcentral.